This 253-nucleotide ribosomal RNA is filed under the name uncultured bacterium. RNAcentral describes it as "partial 16S ribosomal RNA". It matches the Rfam family "Bacterial small subunit ribosomal RNA", at positions 524 to 776 of the family's 1533-position model. The record is from RNAcentral.
UACGGAGGGUGCAAGCGUUAUCCGGAUUCACUGGGUUUAAAGGGUGUGUAGGCGGACUUUUAAGUCAGCGGUGAAAUCUCCGGGCUCAACCCGGAAACUGCCAUUGAUACUAUUGGUCUUGAAUGUUGUUGAGGUGGGCGGAACGGGUCAUGUAGCGGUGAAAUGCAUAGAUAUGACCCGGAACACCGAUUGCGUAGGCAGCCCACUAAGCAACGAUUGACGCUGAGGCACGAAAGCGUGGGGAUCAAACAGG